Cavia porcellus (domestic guinea pig) is the source of this 2024-nucleotide long non-coding RNA. RefSeq lists it as uncharacterized. The record is from RefSeq and is a predicted model, not a curated record. The transcript has 2 exons. NCBI's taxonomy places the organism in Eukaryota, Metazoa, Chordata, Mammalia, Rodentia, Caviidae.
CACGGAGAGCCCUUCUGAGCCAGCCUUCCAGCCACAGGGGCUUUUCCUGCCAGCCCCUUCUUAGCACCAGGGUCAGAUCUGGUGCUGUGUCCAGUUCCCUGCUGGAGACAGUGUGACGGUACCAGGGAUCAAACUCAUGACCUCACCCUUGCCAAGCAGGUGCUUAUGCCACUGAGCUAAAUCCCUAGCCUGGGCUUUGGGCAGUUUUUUGAUACCAGGAAUCGAAUUCAUGACCUUGUACCUGCCAGACAGACAUUUGUGCUGCUGAGCUAUAUCCUUGGUCCACUGGGCUUUGGUUUUUAAAUGGAUCACAAAAUUUUCUAAGACUACUGACAAUUUUUUUAAUAUUAUACGUUUGGGGUUUUUUUCCAAAUCCAUUUUAUUUCAAGAGGAAAAAAAAGAAAAACUAAAACAAAAAUUCAAAACAGAUCAAUCAGGGGCAACAAUGGCACAUACAUCAUUGUGCACUGUCAUCCCCAAAUCAUUCACCCAGAGCACAGAACAUCUGCCUUCAGCUGUCUGCACAAUCUCAGCACAAAUCUUUCUCUUCAGUGAACGCAUAGAAAUCAGCAGUAUAGCUAUCUUAACUAUUUUAUAUGCAUACAUAUAUAUAUACACAUAACCAUGUUUGUUUCAGCUUCUCACACUAAUGAAAAAAUACAAUGUUUACACAUGUGUGUCUUAUUUCACUAAUGAGUAUGGUCUCAAGUUGCAUCCAUUUACCUAUAAAAGUCUUCAGUUUAUCCUUGUUUAUGGCCGAGUAGUACUCCAUUGUAUAAAAAUGCCACAUCUUUUUUAUCCAUUUUUCAGUCAAUAGGCAUUUAGAUUGUUUGCAAGAUCUAGCUAUUACAGAUUGUGCUGGGUGCACAAACAUGGGUGCACAUAUAUUGCUGUGAUAUGAUGUGUUUUAAUUUUUUGGGAAGAUAUCCAGAAGGAGGAUAGUUGAAUGGGACCCCUAGUCCUAGGUUUUUGAGGAAUCUCCACACUGAUUUCCUCUACACUUCCACAAACAGUGGAAAAGGAUUCUUUUUUCCUUACAGCCCCUCCAGCAUGUGUUAUUGGUUGAUUUCUUUCUGGGGUGAGGUGAAAUCUCAGUGUUGUUUUAAUUUGUAUCUCUUGAGUGACCAGUGAUGUUAAACAUUUUUUCACAUAUUUAUUUGCUGUUUGUAUUUCAUCUGAGAAAUUUAAAGACCCAGUCCAAAAAUGGUCAUCUGAAAUGAAUACACACUUCUUAGUAGGCAUCAUAAUCCCUGACUUGAAAUUAUACUAUAAAGCUACUGUGAUAAAAAAAAAAAGUGUGGUACUGACAAAAAACAGACCUGAAGAUCAAUGGAACAGAUUAGAAGAUGCAGAAACAACUCCAGACACUAAGCCAUCUGAUCUUUAACAAAGAUGCCAAACUCAUCACUAGAAAAAAGAUAGCCUCUUUAAUAAAUAGUGCUGGAGGGGGCUGGGGGUUUAGCUCAGCGGCAUAAGCACCUGCCUUGCAAGCAGGCGGUCGUGAGUUCGAUCCCCGGUACCGAUAAAAAUGAAAAAGACAAAAAAAAAAAAAAAAAAAAAAAAAAAAAAAAAUAAAUAGUGCUGGAAACAAUGGCUCUACACAUGCCAAAGAUUAACACUGGACCCCUAUCUUUCACCAUGUACUAAGCUAAAAGCAGAAUGGAUCAAAGGUCUUAAUAUUAAAACUGAAACAUUAAAUCUGUUGGAAGAUAGAGUAGGUAACACUCUGGCAAACAUUGGUGUAGGCAAAGACUUUAUAAAACAAGAUCCAGGUUGCACAGGAAAUACCACAAAGAAUAAACAAUUGGGAUCUCACCGUAGUGAAAAGCUUUUGCACAGCAAGAUAAACCACAAACAGAGUGAAGAGACAACCCACAACAUGGGGGAGAUGUUUGCCAGCUGUUCCUCAGAUAGAGAAUUACUACCCAGAACAUAAAAAGAACUCGGAACAAAUCAGUCCUCCUAGAUUUAUAGACUGAAUUCAAAAAUGAGCAUCUGAGAUAAAUAUACACUUAAUAACUCUA